UGGGGAAUAUUGCACAAUGGGCGCAAGCCUGAUGCAGCGACGCCGCGGGGGGGAUGACGGCCUUCGGGUUGUAAACUCCUUUCGCUAGGGACGAAGCUUUUUGUGACGGUACCUAGAUAAGAAGCACCGGCUAACUACGUGCCAGCAGCCGCGGUAAUACGUAGGGUGCGAGCGUUGUCCGGAAUUACUGGGCGUAAAGGGCUCGUAGGUGGUUUGUCGCGUCGUCUGUGAAAUUCCGGGGCUUAACUCCGGGCGUGCAGGCGAUACGGGCAUAACUUGAGUACUGUAGGGGUAACUGGAAUUCCUGGUGUAGCGGUGAAAUGCGCAGAUAUCAGGAGGAACACCGAUGGCGAAGGCAGGUUACUGGGCAGUUACUGACGCUGAGGAGCGAAAGCAUGGGUAGCGAACAGG
Molecule: ribosomal RNA, 411 nt
Filed under: Actinomycetes bacterium
Lineage: Bacteria; Bacillati; Actinomycetota; Actinomycetes
Description: Actinobacteria bacterium partial 16S ribosomal RNA
Rfam family: Bacterial small subunit ribosomal RNA
Source: RNAcentral